AGUGGCGGACGGGUGAGUAACGCGUGAGAAUCUGCCUUGGGGUCGGGGACAACCACUGGAAACGGUGGCUAAUACCGGAUAAGCCGAUUGGUGAAAGAUUUAUUGCCCGAAGAGGAGCUCGCGUCUGAUUAGCUAGUUGGUGAGGUAAGAGCUCACCAAGGCAGCGAUCAGUAGCUGGUCUGAGAGGACGAUCAGCCACACUGGGACUGAGACACGGCCCAGACUCCUACGGGAGGCAGCAGUGGGGAAUUUUCCGCAAUGGGCGAAAGCCUGACGGAGCAAGACCGCGUGAGGGAGGAAGGCUCUUGGGUUGUAAACCUCUUUUCUCAGGGAAGAAGCUCUGACGGUACCUGAGGAAUCAGCCUCGGCUAACUCCGUGCCAGCAGCCGCGGUAAUACGGAGGAGGCAAGCGUUAUCCGGAAUUAUUGGGCGUAAAGCGUCCGCAGGUGGCGAUUCAAGUCUGCUGUCAAAGCACGGGGCUUAACUCCGUAAAGGCAGUGGAAACUGAAUAGCUAGAGUGCCGUAGGGGUAGAGGGAAUUCCCGGUGUAGCGGUGAAAUGCGUAGAGAUCGGGAAGAACAUCGGUGGCGAAAGCGCUCUACUGGACGGCAACUGACACUCAGGGACGNAAGCUAGGGGAGCGAAUGGGAUUAGAUACCCC
This 660-nucleotide ribosomal RNA is filed under the name uncultured bacterium. RNAcentral describes it as "bacterial SSU rRNA". It matches the Rfam family "Bacterial small subunit ribosomal RNA", at positions 94 to 788 of the family's 1533-position model. The record is from RNAcentral.